AUAUGUAAAAGUCAGCCAGUUGAACAGAGGCAUGGGAGUUCAGAGUGUUUUGGGCAGAAGAAAUAGCAUGAUUUUAUCUGAACACUGGACUUGAGAGAAGGACACUGGUGACUAUGAGACCAAGUUGGAAGGCUGUUAAGGGGCUACAGGAAACAACAAAAAGCUAGGGACUGCCAGUUCUGUUCACACAGGUAUGUGAUAACUGCUCAAGAUAUGUUUGCUAACU
Panthera uncia (snow leopard) is the source of this 226-nucleotide long non-coding RNA. RefSeq lists it as uncharacterized. The transcript is spliced from 3 exons. The record is from RefSeq and is a predicted model, not a curated record. NCBI's taxonomy places the organism in Eukaryota, Metazoa, Chordata, Mammalia, Carnivora, Felidae.